RNAcentral lists this long non-coding RNA (1365 nucleotides) under Gallus gallus (chicken). Its description in RNAcentral is "lncRNA (ENSGALG00010020722.1)". The record is from RNAcentral. Lineage: Eukaryota; Metazoa; Chordata; Aves; Galliformes; Phasianidae.
CUCUUGUUGGUGAAGCUUUCUCCUGUGAACCUUCUGAUUCAGAUGGAGAAAAAAUGGUGGAAUGACCUUCUAAAGGCCGCAGAAGGAGUUGAAACUGAGAUGAGAUCAAGGAGCUCCUGACUACCCUGCCCCCAGGGAAAACAUCAGAUUGUUCUGCAUCUCUCUUCUGCAACUAUUGCACUGACAAAGGCCUUUUGCCACACUCACAUAAGCGUGUCUACAAGAUGGAUUUUUAUGACUGCAGUGGAAUUUGGGAGAUGGCCGGGACACUUUGGUUUCCAGCAAUCCCAUAUCAUACUUCCCUCAUGUGCUUCUCUCUCUCCUGCCUCUAUGCAUUUUUCAAUAAACCGGCAAAAUUACCCAUGAGCAAGGCUGUAAGGGACAGCACAGAGCCAGUGAAAUCAUACGCCUCCUGUGCUUGUAUAGUUAGCAGCAAGUGUAUAUAACACAGCCCUGCCCUUCCUCUUCUAAUGAAAGUGGCUCGCCACCAGGAAAAGCAGUAACACCCUUGUUUUACACCACCUCCACAAAGUUAUGAGAAGGUGUACAAUUUUGUAUGGUUUUUCUAAGAAAUGGAAGAUCUUCCAAGCAAGGCUCAAGAAAGAGAAUCACCCUAUAAGUCAGUGUUGGAAACGCAGACUGGAAAAUCAAGUGCCGACUUUGCAUUGUCGCAGAUAAUAGAUGGUGAAUGGUGGGCUCAAGUUUAGUGACAUGCACUUCGGCUGUGCAGAGUUACUCGUGUUAGACUACUGUAACAUGAAAAGGAUCGUUCACGUGGCACAGCAAGAUGGUACAGUUAGAUGCAUGCACCACACAGCCAUUUAUUUGGCUUCUGUCCGUUCCUCGCUGGGAAUUAAACUGAGAAGAAAUUCUCUUCCAAGGUUUGAAAAGCAUCUGCAAAAGUUAGAAACUCCUAGGGAAAAAAAACAACAAAAAAAAGAAAAACACAAACACAAAACAGCUUAUUUGUUCAUCCAUCAUAUUUUCCAGGCAACUGUUCUCUUGAGGAACAUGCAAACGAAUAGCCAAGAGUGAGUGGCGGAAAAGAUACACGUAUAUGAAUUCCUUAAAGCAAGGCACGUCUUGGAGCUACUUUCAUGUUCUUUCCUGAUGCUGGCGAGGGUGGGGCAGAAGUCUGGGAAGAAAUCAGUUGGCCUGGGAAGGCAUGGGCCCUACUUAAGAAAACAAAAAUUCCUGGAGGUAUGCCUUGUUCAGCCAUUGCAAGUGUCCUCAGAGGCCAAGCACUACUAUCACGUUCAUUUGAUGGCUCUUAAACUACAUUAAACUGUCCAAAGGCACCCAACCAAACGUCACAGUAAAACAAAAAUCAAUUGAUCGCAUGCCCGGGCAACACUUACCAUGGGC